This 461-nucleotide ribosomal RNA is filed under the name uncultured bacterium. RNAcentral's name for it is "bacterial SSU rRNA". It matches the Rfam family "Bacterial small subunit ribosomal RNA", at positions 340 to 789 of the family's 1533-position model. The record is from RNAcentral.
UACGGGAGGCAGCAGUGGGGAAUAUUGCACAAUGGGCGAAAGCCUGAUGCAGCUAUGCCGCGUGUAUGAAGAAGGCCUUAGGGUUGUAAAGUACUUUCAUCGGGGAGGAAAAAACAAAACUAAUAAUUUUAUUUCUUGACGUUACCCGAAAAAGAAGCACCGGCUAACUCCGUGCCAGCAGCCGCGGUAAUACGGAGGGUGCUAGCGUUAAUCAGAAUUACUGGGCGUAAAGAGCACGUAGGUGGUUUUUUUAAGUCAGAUGUGAAAUCCCUGGGCUUAACCUAGGAACUGCAUUUUGAAACUGAAAUACUAGAGUAUCGUAGAGGGAGGUAGAAUUCUAGGUGUAGCGGUGAAAUGCGUAGAUAUCUGGAGGAAUACCUGUGGCGAAAGCGGCCUCCUAAACGAAUACUGACACUGAGGGUGCGAAAGCGUGGGGAGCGAAACAGGGAUUAGAUACCCGU